UGUGCGGAGCGUACGGUUUUCGGCGGCGUCCCUCGGGAGAAACUGUGUGUCAAAGCGAGGGCAGAACAAGAAUCUCCCACCGGAAUGCGGCUUCAUGGAUUUUCGCCCGGAAUUUCGAGCAGGAAAAUACAGCUUUGCAGAAGUUGCCGCGCGGUCUCGGCCAUCCGAAUUUUAUUAAGAUCCUCCUAAGAGAACCGGAACGACGAGGCGAGCCGGCGCUGCCCACCUCCCGAGGAAUUCCAAUUUGAGUGGCCUUCGAAUACCAAGGAAGCAGUGGUUCGAAGCGGUUUUAGAAGAAGGAUGACAUUUUCGAGAAAGGCGGGAGAGUCACUGUUCGCGCCAAAAGGCGCGUCGUAAUUGCGGAGGCAGCCGAACAGCCAGCGACGGGAACCGAACACUGCGAAUGAGACGUAGAGCGACAUCUGUGCAGGGGCUUGGGAGGUACGAGGAGAAACUAUGCACAGAGGAUUAGAGUACUAAUGAAACCGAGCGAGGUUUAAUAAUAGCCAUCGAUAGGGUUCCAGAGGAUUCAACAGGGUUCAAGUAUAUAUAAUUCAAUAGGGAUCAGUGGAAUUGUACAUAUAUCAGUGGAGGUCAGAAUUGAAUUAGAUACAGACAGGAUGUAAUUGAGGAUCAUUAGUAUUCUCUUGGAAGGGCAUAGCAGAGUAGAAAUGGGUUUCGAUUAGAGACCGAUGCAGUGAGAAAUAAAUUCGGUUGAAUUAAAUGGAAUUAUAAUUGAACUAGAAAACACAGUGGACUAAUCGGUGAAAUUUAGAACCGAAGAAAAAUAAAAAAAAUAAAUGAAUAAAGAUGGAACAAUCGACAACAGAAUGAAACAGAACCUCAUAGAGUCGAAUUAGGAUGAAUGGAAUUACAUAAACCUUAGCAGAAUUUCAAUGGUAAUUCACAUGAUACAACGUAUCGUAUGAAUCGAAUUAAUUACAAUCGAAUGGAAUUAAAUUAUUAUUGAACACUGUACAGUAUUGAAAGGGAAUGAAUAGAAUUCGGCAGAAUUGAAUAGAAUCGUAUGGAAUGUACGUGAAUGAAAACGAAAAUAAAUGAGAUUGAAUAACAUCGACCAGGAAUCAGCGAGAUUGAACAAAAAAAAUCGAAGAGAAUACGCGACGAUGAUCAGCAAGAGAUCUCGCUAAACGCAAUCACUGAAAAUCGAUGAAAAUAUUAACCCGGAGAGAAUCGGCAGGAUCAAAAGCAAAUGCUGAAAAAUUAAAAAUCAAAAUCGAACCUCGAAACACUCGCUGUCACCGAGGAACAUAUCGACCGCCAUACCUUUCGUUGUCGCGUUUCUCGGCAGAUUAGGUCGAACAAUGAAGGAUCGAUGCCGCCGCCGUGCUCGCGGGCCGAAUCGGGCCAGGCUAGGCCGGGCCGCUACGGGCGAAAAGAAUGGAAUUCCAUAAACUGAUCGGGCAUCGCGACAGUUGUUGUAUGCAGCCGCUUAAAUCAGCGGCACGUAGACAAGGUUGAUCGUGCGUGAACAAAGCUGGCGGCCGGUGUAAAUCAGUCAGCUCUCCCUCCCUCUUUAUCCUCGCUUUCUCUCUGUCGAUCCACUUCCUUUCUCUCUCUCUCUCUCUCCGACUUCGCUUUCUUUCUCGCAUUACUCUCUCUCUGUCUCUGUCCGGCUGUUCACUGGUGCCGGGAUUAGAGUUUCUUCCGUGGAAUGGCUCGGUUACCCGGGCCGCAGCGAGCAAACUCUUUCGACUCUUUUCUCCGGUGAUCACCGUCGGUAUCGCCUGCUUUUCUCUCUCUCUUUCUCUCUCUCUCUUCCGUCCCUCUUCCUUCGAGCUCUCUCUUUCUAUCGCUUUCUGUCGGCUCUUUCGAAAAACCGUCUUUCAUGCGGGGAAACCGUUAGCUCGUCGUCGUCGCCGUCGACGUCGUCAUCCUCUGUAGCUGGCACGCGUGUCCCGGCGACGACUGCGAGAAGAGGGUCCGGAAUGAGAAGGAGAGAGGAAAAGAGAGAGAGACGGGAAGGGAGUGAGAAGCGAGAGAUGAAAGGGGGGCACAUCGGGGACCUCGAUUCUAUCCUAACGUAAUUCAGUCUCCGGAGCUUUUCGCGGAACAAUGGCUAAUAAUUGCCGACUACUUGUACAAGAGGACGUGAUGAACGCGGCAGACGGCACCGUCUGCCCGGCGAACACUGCGCACGGAUAAACGUAUCCGCCGAGGAAACGAAGUUUGCGAAACGGGGACGAGUCUUUUGGGUAUUAUUCCCUCCCGCGAUCUACCCUUCUCCGUUUCCCUCCUCCUCCCCCCCGAUGCUUUUCUUCCCGUCGCUGCCGCCGCCGCCGAAGAACCGUUCAACUGAAAGAAAUAAUAACUAGUUCGACCGAGUUCAAGCCGCAGAAACGAAUCGAUAGAUAUUAUUUACCGCACAAAGGGAAUCCACCUGAAACUUCCCUUGCCGCCACUUUCCCGGAACACCACCCUUGCUUCGAACUGUUCCGGAGACUGUACUGUAACUACUAAACUAGUUUACCGACGUGACCGUCGUCUGCGAUCGACGCGAUCUUUGUGUCACGCUGCGACACUCGUUGCCGUUGCGGCCGAGUCGAGGUUUUCGGUUUUUGUCCGUGUGAUUUAAGAUCUUCUUUUUUAAUGGA
Molecule: long non-coding RNA, 2615 nt
Organism: Megalopta genalis
Lineage: Eukaryota; Metazoa; Arthropoda; Insecta; Hymenoptera; Halictidae
Source: RefSeq, a predicted model, not a curated record